GAUUAGUUGAGGUGCACGUAAGAUAACUCGAUGUUAAUUUAAAAAAACAAACAGGAUCUCAAUAAAAUAAAUUUAAAAAAUACAGAAGGGUAAAUAGUGCUUGCAUUAAUUAAUC
RNAcentral lists this microRNA precursor (115 nucleotides) under Populus trichocarpa (black cottonwood). Its description in RNAcentral is "miR1449 stem-loop (ptc-MIR1449)". The record is from miRBase by way of RNAcentral. Lineage: Eukaryota; Viridiplantae; Streptophyta; Magnoliopsida; Malpighiales; Salicaceae.